Long non-coding RNA from Xiphophorus couchianus (Monterrey platyfish), 382 nucleotides. RefSeq lists it as uncharacterized. NCBI's taxonomy places the organism in Eukaryota, Metazoa, Chordata, Actinopteri, Cyprinodontiformes, Poeciliidae. The transcript has 2 exons. The record is from RefSeq and is a predicted model, not a curated record.
CCCUUUCUUUAACACUAGAACUACCAAAGAUUCCCAAAAUGGGAAUCUUCCUCUAGCUACCAGAGAGGGGCCAGUUUGGCCCUCCAAGAGAGGGUGUGAAGAGGCGCCUUUGUUAUGUAAAUAAGGCCAUUACUGACAAUGACAAAGGACAAUCAGCGUGAAAGUUGAUGUAGUGAGUUUGGCUCUCCUCCCCCCUGCUGGUCCCUCAGGCUAUGGUCACAUCUACAGGGAUGCUAAUUAGACCAUUCAGAGUCGUCAGUUUGGCCACAUUGGGAUGCUAAUAACCCAGUUUGGCCCUCUCUCGGUAGUUCUAGGAAGAUACCCAAUUUGGCCCCUCUUGGUAGAGAUAGGAAUUUCUCAAAAUCCUGGUAGUCCUAGUGUU